Non-coding RNA from Coturnix japonica (Japanese quail), 2811 nucleotides. Lineage: Eukaryota; Metazoa; Chordata; Aves; Galliformes; Phasianidae. The record is from RefSeq and is a predicted model, not a curated record.
CAGGCACGCCUACUGAAAUCACUCAACCAAUUGAAGAAACAGAAUGAGAUUUGGAUUAUAGGGUUUCAGAUAAUACCAAGUCCCUUGUGAAAGGUUCCAUAAAGCUGCAAUGAACAAAGGUUAUUAAGUUCCUGCUGUGUUCAAGUUUCCUACAGAUAAUCUACUGACACAGUCAUUUUUCCCACUCUUGCAUCUCAACUCUGCAGUUUAUUAAUCCAGCCUACAUCAUUUUUAUUGUUCCAGCUUUUUGACUUCUGACGACUUCAGUUCAAGUCCCAGUUGGGCUCCUGAUCAGUAGGGUAGCUGAUUUCCCAAUAAAGAGAGAAAGGAAAUGUGUAAACUUGUUGAAGUGCUCCACAAGCUCCAGCUUGCAAACCUCACAGAGGCUGCAGUCCAUCCAGUGCACAGACUCUCACCUAAUACAACAUACUAGUUCCAGAAUCAUAGAUGCAUAAACUAGAAGAUCCAUUGAGCUUUCAAGAUCCAAUACAGAUUUGCUUAUACGUGGCAGUAAAAGCAAGAUGAAGAAAGCACGGGACUAAUGGAUUCAUACAGAUCUCUUCAGGUAUUUUCAGUAUCUUGUUUUCCUGAGAAUAAUUAAAAAUAAGAUACAUAUUAUCUUGAAUCUUUAAACAGUUAUUAUUUUUUUUUUACAGUUAGAGACACAAUAGAUUUUAGAGCUAUACAUUUCUCACCUUUUUUUCUAAAAUAUUUAGAUAACAUCUAUUUCUCUCUUUGACUUUCACUAUGUAGCAUGCAUUCCUGAAAUUGUUAUCUUGGAUUUUCAGCAGCAUUAAUAACCCAUUUAUUAGUAUUAAUUAAUAUUCUAAUAAUCAGAGUAAAAUAGUCUGAAAGCAUUAACUAAUAUGUCCUGUAGCAGAAACUUUAAGCUUAAAAUUAGAUUUAUUUUUUUUUAUUAAAAGCAAAAACAAUAUUACAGCUGUGUUAGAAAAGGUCUAGUGUUGAAAGAGUUGUGAACCAGUGAUUAUAUUCACUACAUAGUAAGAGAGUUCCCUUUGAAAUACUGACAAAUGUUUGUUUUGCCAAAAAUGAAGUGGGUUUCUUCAACAAAUCACUAAAAGUCUGUCUGGUACUUCUAAGCCCAGAAAAGCAAUGUUGCUAAAGGAAAAUAUUGACUCCCUUUUUUGUUUGCUACAAAAUAUAGCAUAAUGCAUCUGCCUGAAGGGCAAAAAUCUCUGAAAAUCAUUGAACUGAGAAUGGUUGUAUAUUCUGCACAAUUUCAGAAGUGGCAUUUCAGUAAUGAUCCAUGGCAAGGGGCUCCACAUCUAAAAUAUUCUUUGGUAAAAACUAGUUAUAUUUAAUGAGAUAAAAAUAGAUGAAAGUUUUGGCAAUGAAAAGAACGACCUGGACUAUGCUAAGAAAUGUACUGUACUAUGAAAAAAAUAUAUAGAUAGUAUUUCCCUUAUGAUGACACUUCAAAAGAUGAAGUCUGUAAGAUACAAGAAUCUUUGUGCUUGUAUAUUUAGCAGAGUUUACUUCCUAACAAAUAAGAUUUCAUAAUUGUUGUUGAUUUCUGAGUUGUUUUUCAGAACAGUGUAUCUUAAGCAUGAAAUGAAAAUUACAGGUAUGGUAAUUCACCUAAUUUAUCCAUUUAUAAUUGCUGAAAAGCAUGGAACUACUAGAAGUGAACUUACCCUUUACAAUUACAGACUUGAAGGGAAUAGUAAGAAUUGUUUAGAGGGAGUUUGAGCGUUGAUAAAGGAUGCUGCAAAUCUGAUAAAGAAAUCUAUUAAAAUGUUGUAAUUGUGCAUCAGUUAUAUAAAAAAAUAUUUUUAGAUGACGUGACAAAAAAUCAUAGAAUUGUAAAGCCUAAAGAAGAACAGAUAAUGCAAUUAUAACAAGAUACAGGUGAGCUACUUAAAUUACCAUAUUCCACUUAACAACUCAGUGAUCAUAAUCAUUUUACAAUUCUGUUCUAUACAGUGUUAGAAGAGUAAUUUAGAAAAUCAUUACCUCCAUCUAGUGGCGAUUCCCUGAAAUUUUCACUUACAACUACGCUUCCACAGGGAAGUAUGCCCCAAGCUUUGAUUCUACCUUGUUACACCUUGAAAAGCAACAGGAAAACAAACAAACAAACAAACAAACAAACAAACAAAAACAACCAGCAAUCCACUUGAUUUAUUAAAGAAAAGCUAUAUUUUAUUUUUUAGUACUGAAGUUAGUUCCAAAACCUAUGUUUGAGAGUUUAGAUUUUAUUUAAGGAAACUCAUUCGGCAGCAGUGCCCACAUCUCUUCCAAGAAUGGUGCUCAAAAUAUCUUGUAAAGAAAGUCAGCAUCACUCCUCACACAGUACAGCUUGGGAAGCUGAGGCAGGGGAAAAUUAGACAAUUUCAACAAGUGCUAGAAUGUAGAAAGAGCCCCGGCCUCACCAGCUGCUCAGGUCAGUUUUCUCCCCACAGAGAAACAAGAUGAGAGUGGCUACUUCUCCUUUGUUAUCUUUGGAUCAGCUAAAGAACAAACUGAUAGUGACUGGCAUGCCAUAAUAACGCCACAAGUGUUACAAUUUAGAGGAGCAAGCCAUAUCACUGCAACCACCACCUUAGCCAUUACAAGUAGUCCCGUUUGCAUUCUACUGAGACAAUAUAAACACUCAUUAAACAUCAAAUCUGCUUAUUCAGUCCCGAGUGGUGUACAACAGAACCAACGAGGCAGCAUGGCAUGAAGUUUACACUGCCACACCCCAGUGAUCUACCUUAUUAUAAAGAAAAUAAACAGGCCAAGUCUCCAGAGCAAUUACUGUCAUUUUCUGGAAGCCUUUAAUCCAGAUGAAGUCAUUUUGGAUAUUCUUGU